CUCUAAGGCUAGUUUAGUAUAUUUAAUUUGCGAUACCUCGUUGUGAAUCUUUAAACACUUGAUAUUACGUCGAAAUUUCCUUUAAAUGAAUAUAACGAAAUGAAAAUUAUACCCUAUAAAGCAGAGGUGGUGGUAAAUCCAGUUCAUUUUUACAUUGUUAAACUUUACCACGUGCAUUUUUACUCACUCCACAGUGUGUGCUGUAAAAUAAUGCAUCUGUGAAAUGAUGCAAUUUCUUUUUUUUACUACAUCUUAAAAGUGUUCUUUUAGAGUGGGUUUGAAUAUGAAAUACGGGGUGUCCCGUAUAAUAUUGGAUCGUGAAUAGCAUUAAACUGUGAUUUCCAGGAAGGAAUCAGAGAUGAGCCGUAACAAAUAUAAACAAACGACCUGGGGCCAAACGACAAAGGAACAAACAACUUAGAGUUAAAGACAAACGGCCAAAAACGUGACCUAGGGUAAAACGAUCUACUGUAAAACGACAAACGAAAGUGUUACAAUCGAG
This is a long non-coding RNA of Eurytemora carolleeae, 502 nucleotides long. RefSeq lists it as uncharacterized. NCBI's taxonomy places the organism in Eukaryota, Metazoa, Arthropoda, Copepoda, Calanoida, Temoridae. The record is from RefSeq and is a predicted model, not a curated record. The transcript has 2 exons.